Molecule: ribosomal RNA, 442 nt
Filed under: uncultured bacterium
Lineage: Bacteria
Description: partial 16S ribosomal RNA
Rfam family: Bacterial small subunit ribosomal RNA
Source: RNAcentral
CCUACGGGGGGCAGCAGUAGGGAAUCUUUCACAAUGGGCGAAAGCCUGAUGGAGCAACGCCGCGUGCAGGAUGAAGGCCUUCGGGUUGUACACUGCUUUUAUAAGCGAGAAAUAUGAUGGUAACUUAUGAAUAAGGAUCGGCUAACUACGUGCCAGCAGCCGCGGUCAUACGUAGGAUCCGAGCAUUAUCCGGAGUGACUGGGUGUAAAGAGUUGCGUAGGUGGCAUAAUAAGUAGCUAGUGAAAUCUGGUGGCUCAACCAUUCAGACUAUUAGCUAAACUGUUAAGCUCGAGACCGUUAGGGGUAACUGGAAUUUCUAGUGUAGGAGUGAAAUCCGUAGAUAUUAGAAGGAACACCAAUAGCGUAGGCAGGUUGCUGGGACGGUUCUGACACUAAGGCACGAAAGCGUAGGGAGCAAACGGGAUUAGAUACCCCAGUAGUC